ACUGCUUCUCGGCCUUUUGGCUAAGAUCAAGUGUAUUAUGAAGAUUCGUAUUAGACACAACCACAUCCAUUUGUUAUUAAGUGUGCACGUUAUUCAUGUAUUGUGUCUGUACUCUGGUCAACCAGAAAUAAGUCUCAAGUUAAUUUGUUUACAUAAGCAUUUAUUUCUUGUACAAAGAUGACCACUC
Small nuclear RNA from Heterocephalus glaber (naked mole-rat), 187 nucleotides. Its record names the gene U2. It matches the Rfam family "U2 spliceosomal RNA". From Rfam's summary of the family: U2 is a small nuclear RNA (snRNA) component of the spliceosome (involved in pre-mRNA splicing). Complementary binding between U2 snRNA (in an area lying towards the 5' end but 3' to hairpin I) and the branchpoint sequence (BPS) of the intron results the bulging out of an unpaired adenosine, on the BPS, which initiates a nucleophilic attack at the intronic 5' splice site, thus starting the first of two transesterification reactions that mediate splicing. The record is from Ensembl. NCBI's taxonomy places the organism in Eukaryota, Metazoa, Chordata, Mammalia, Rodentia, Bathyergidae.